RNAcentral lists this long non-coding RNA (1487 nucleotides) under Felis catus (domestic cat). RNAcentral describes it as "lncRNA (ENSFCAG00000049351.1)". Lineage: Eukaryota; Metazoa; Chordata; Mammalia; Carnivora; Felidae. The record is from RNAcentral.
CCCGAAUCCCCAAGCUCGGUUGGCUCCUUAGAGAAGUUGGGGACAGCCUAUUAGUAAAACUGGAGGCUGGCGACCAACUUCUGCCUCUCCCCAGACGGCCUCUCCCAUCACACAGAUUGCCAAUGUCGGAGAGAGGAAAAGGGGUCCCGGGGUCCCGCAGGCAGUGUAAUAAAGGGGGCCAGGGAGUGAAGGUCCCAUGAGUCAAAGUGCACGAAAGUCCUCCUCUACAAACCGCAGGUAGAGAAAAUCAAAUCCCGCCCCUCGUGGCUGUCACGGCCACCCGAAAAUGAACUAAAACAAAAAUGCUGCUGGCAAGUGGGAUGCUGGGAUGUUUCGUGACUGAGUCGUAGUCCUGGGAUGAAAAUACAGGAGCUUUGGUUGUCUCCAGCUGUAAAAGUCAUUUGGGGCCUAAUAUCGGUUUUAUGGCCUUUUCCCGGGGUGUAAUAACUGGAAAGUGCCCGAGGCAGGUCUCUGUGGGAAAUCUAGGAGUGCUCCACAUAGAUCCUCCUGCCUCGACCAGUGAGAGCCGGCUAGCAGCUAGGAAACAGUUACAUUAUUUCUGCAGUAUAGCUCGAUACGUCCCCAAUAAAAGUUAAUGAUUAUGCGCAGACUUGCAGACGUCCGAGAGUCUAGACCGAAGACGCUGGGAGAAAUCUUUGCACGUUCACUCUCCGGCCUUCCGCGCGAGUAGAACCUUAACGUCACUUCCACACCAGCCUCAAGCCGGUCGCCGAUCUGCCCCUUUGGGUCACCCGCACUGUCCUGCCUUAGAAGGUCACUCUGAUAACUUCCUUAUUCACCCAGGAUGUGUUUAUUGAGCACCUGCUGUGCGCCAGGCAUGCUGUCCGGGAGCUGCCCUCUGGCGGGAAGGUUAGGGGCACGGGCGGCAAGCAGGCAAGUGUGCAAAAGAGCCUCUCAGGGCUGUGACAGGGACAGAGGGGCUCGGGAAGGCGCCUCCGAGGAGAGGACAUCUGAGCCGAGACCUGGAAGACAUGGGAGCAGCCAGGAGAGCCGGGCAGAAAGUACUCUGCCGGAAGGAGAAGCCAGGGCCAGAGGCCACAGGGACCUCUAAGACAGGACCAUGUCCCUCUCUGGCGGCCUGGCACAGUGCCUGGUACUCAGAAGAAGACCAGUGAGGAAGCAAGCAUCACUCCAGACCUACCAGAUGUGCAAAGAUGAAGAGGUCUGAUGGGGCCAAGUGUCUUCAAGGACGUGGAGAAUCAGGGGCGCGGAGACACUGUGGUGGGGUCGUAAGUCAGGUCAUCCACUUUGGGGAGCAGAUGAAAAUACCAAGUAAAGUUAAAAAUGCCCAUUUCUUUCACCCUGAAAUCCUACUUACAGCAUAAAUCUGGAGAAACGUCUGCUCAGGGGAGUGUGAACACACAGAUGUUCGUUGCAUCAUUGUUUAUGACAGCAAAGAACCUGGACACCCAUCGACAGGUAAAAAGGUAAAUAAAUUAUAAAAUAUCCUUACGUAGAGUAGUGUA